GAGAAAGUCAUAAAGGCUAUAAAGUUGGCGUGAAACCAAUUGCUGGGGGUUCGAUUCCUUCCUUUCUUA
Molecule: transfer RNA, 69 nt
Filed under: Loxodonta africana (African savanna elephant)
Lineage: Eukaryota; Metazoa; Chordata; Mammalia; Proboscidea; Elephantidae
Rfam family: tRNA
About the family: Transfer RNA (tRNA) molecules are approximately 80 nucleotides in length. Their secondary structure includes four short double-helical elements and three loops (D, anti-codon, and T loops).
Source: Rfam by way of RNAcentral